RNA transcript from Oncorhynchus gorbuscha (pink salmon), 2075 nucleotides. It is a transcript of the gene named intercellular adhesion molecule 1-like, with no coding region annotated. Lineage: Eukaryota; Metazoa; Chordata; Actinopteri; Salmoniformes; Salmonidae. The transcript is spliced from 10 exons. The record is from RefSeq and is a predicted model, not a curated record.
GGGACAUCGGCACUCAUGAGAAAGGGAGAGGGUAAGAUAUGUGAAGUGAGAGAGCCUGUGGCGGAUGUUCGAGAUGGACGGACAAACAGACAGAUACACAGAAAGAUAAACAGACAAUGGAUUCAGCUGAGCUGGAUGGCAAUAUGUCUGUUUCUCACACUACCAGGUGUGCCUACACAUGCCUCCUGUCCUGUUGAGCUCAACCCUCCCAGAGUAGUGGUGAGAUAUGGAGACUCCGUCUCAGUCAACUGCACCACAUCCACAGACCCCGAGGGGAUGGGGUGGGAGGUCACGUUCGGAGGUAUAGGUUUGCAAGAAAAUGUCAGCUUUGUCACCUGGACUGUGGGAAGCCUCAUGGACUGGACAAUAGAACCUAAAUGCUACAUCAAUCUACAAAAUGAAAGUCAGUGUACUGAGAUUCUCCCUGUCAUUCUCUACAAGACUCCAGACAGCGUGUCUAUCUCUCCUCUGAGCCACUCUGGUCCAAUGAUGGAGGGGAAGGAGUACCAGCUGCAGUGCGACAUCCAGAACAUCGCUCCUCUACAGAACCUGGUUGUGAGGUGGUACAAAGGCAAUGAAACUAUAGAGACUCAAACGUUUAAUGACUCCACAAAGGAACUAGUGAAUAUGUCCUCCACUAUCACCAUCACCCACAAGAGAUAUGAGGGUGAAGUAGAGUACAGAUGUGAGGCAGAGCUGGACCUGGGACCAGAGGGACCGAAACCUACUGCCUUGUCAUCAAAACCUCUUAAUGUUACUGUUUACUCUCACACAAACAAGUCGACAACACCCACGGCUAAGUCCUUAACCACCGCAGAUGCAAGGUGGGAUGAACCAUUCAAUUAUGACUACUACUUCCUCCGUGUUGUCGGUCUGUCUUUGGCUGCAACGCUCUUCAUCCUGGGUAUUAUAGUCAUUAGCUGUGAUAAAGUAUGCCGGAUGCCUAGGUGUCAUGUGGGCACAGGGAAGUCGUACCAAGUGGCCAGAGAGUAGUGAGGGAACAAACGUGUUACUGAGUGGCCUCAAGACACCAGAAGAGUUCAUCAGAGGGACAUGGUGAAACAACACUGAUGCAACAGACCUUAUCGGCCAUGUGCGUGUGUAUGUGUGUGUGAAAACGUUGUUGGACAAAACUCUGCAGCUCUCAUUUCAGAGAUAAGAACGUGAGAUGUGUUUCAUGUGCCUUUCCCACAGACUGCAAGUGAGACUCACCCAACAUUAUGAAAUUACCCCUCCCUCACUCUUCUAAAGACUUACCUGUAGUUUUGAAUGCAAGUUUUAUUAUACUUUGGCAAUCAUGUUUUAAUGUAUAUUUUCAAAUGCUUACAAAAUGUUACAGAAUACAUACUGUAGAUGUUACGUAGCUCAGAGGCGCCCCCAAGAGCACCGGAAGAGAUAUUAUGGAGGUCCAUCAUGCCUCUGACAGCCUCAUCUAACGGAACAGUCCCUCUGGUUCCGGGUAGGGAAUUGCCAAUACUACAUGCCAAAGGCACAAUACAGACAUAGGUGUCUGAGAAGCUUCUCUGUUCUACCUUUAAAUGGAAAUUCCUUAAUUAUUUUCAUUAAUGCACUGUUAAUACAGAUCCAAUGUUUUGCAUGUCAACAGUCAAGUUUUCAAGAUAUUGGACUUUCAAGAAGCAAAGUGUCACUGGCCACAUGAUUGUCCUUAUAACAGAACAGAGAGGUGGAGAGAGAAUAAAGAAAAUUAAAAACUCCAGAAUAAACCAUGGACAAAUGAGUCACGCUGACAAGUGAAGAAUAGGGGCAUUAUUUUCUUGUUAGUCUUUGUUAAAUGUUAUUUCCAUUACCGAAUUCAACUUUGAAAUUAACAUUAAUUGCGAGUCUGGCUGGAUAAUGACAAGAUGAGUCAUGUUUGAAUUCUGGUUUCCACCUCCUCUAUCGAACAGCCUGCUCAACUCUAGCCAAGCUGUUUCUAUGAAAUCGUUUAAAAUCAUUACCUCAGAAACGGCCAAGCCUCAUACAAUAAGCCUCAUGAAUAAAAUGGCCCUGAAAAACAUUCCACUAUCUGUUAAUCUUCAAAAUACCUCUAAAGUUAUCAGGAUGUAAAAAUAAAA